GGGGUUGGCACAGCAGGGAGCAGGACAUGCUCUGAGAGCUCCAGGCUGAGCAAGACCUUAAGACCACACCAAGUUGGGAAACAGACAAGCUGCAGCUUCCAGGACCCUGUUCAGAGCAGGAAGCCCACAGGGAUGGGAUGCAGAGGUAAGUAGGAAGUGACCCAGGGAAGCUGACGUGAGGCUGUUGCAAGGCACUGCAGGCUACCAUGCUCAAAAGACAAAGAACACACCACUGAAGAGGGGAGAGGUGGUCCUGGCUGCACAGUUUUCCAGUCAGUAGAUUUCUGGAAACAUAUGAUACAUUUGAUUGUACGCCUUGUGGCCCAGAGCCUACAAAAGAAGGGAGGUGACUGAGUUAGCUUUCCGCUGGCAUCUGCUGUGGAGCAAGAGGAAUCAACUGAGUGAGGCAGUACCUUAUUUACAUAUGAACUGCUAAUAGUUUGAGGACACUGGGGUAUAAUUUGACUAAAUUUCAAACUUGGGGCCAAUAUUUUGGAAAUCACCCUGGUGAAAACCAACUGGGCAAGGCCUAGAAAAUGAUUGGGUUCAAGUUCAUCCUGGCUAUGACUGGGGUUUGCUGAGGUUAAGUUGGAGGUCCUGAAGAAAGUCAAAAGAAGAAACAAAAAAAUGUAUGCUUUUGGUUUGCUGUACGGAGUAUUUCUCUAGUUAGAAUGGAGUCAGUGGAGGUUCCCUUAUAUCAUGGUUCCCUUCUUAAAAGAGAUGAGCUGAAGAUAGUAGCUUCAUCCUGAGAAGAUGCUGGAGCAACUGAUCUGGCCCCUAGCUGAGAACUACAGGGUGUAGGUGGAGCAGAGAAGCAAUUGCAGACCACUGGUAGUAUAUUUAGAUGAGAGUUACUAAUCAGUCACAAGCAGAGAGAAGUGUCAGUCUGGCCCCUAACAGAGCUGAAUGGGGAUCCUCAUUACUGAGGGCUGAGUAUACGGACAGCAGAUAUUUCAGCUACAGAGGGAGCAGAUCCAAGGGGGUUAUCCUCUCCAGUCUCCAUCUGCCUGAGUGCUCUGGUGAGGCCUCCCUGACCCAGCAUCACACCUGAACGUUGCUGUAGUAGGUCAUCAAGCAGCAGAAACCCGGAGCUUGCCUAGGCAGUUCAGACCCAGAUUCUCCUUGGGACUAACUAACUGUGAGUGGGGAGGUGACAAUGUUCCAGUAAGUAUUCAUAGGUUGGGACUGUGACUCAUGUACGUUGAGAUAAUAGUGGCAGAAAUUGUUUAGUUGUAAGGCUUGAACAAGUUUACCUGGUCAUUUCCCUUUCCUCAGUAAAGUUUUCCUGUUUAAAAACCCUUUGGUCACUGUGCUUGCAAGUAGGGAAUAAGUUGCCUAUCAGUGACACUCCGAGUGAUACUUAUGUUCCCAUGUUACUGGGUGGGAGCUCAAAGUGGAGUUAUUUAAAUUUUAGAAAAACCGUAGAAGGCAAGGACAGCCCUUAAUUGCUGCCAAUGUCACUGGCAGAAGGCUUACAUUAUUAUAACAAUUGUCUCAGAAAAUAUGGUUAUUUGUAGAGUGAUAGGCAAGAGGAACUAUUUUUGUGGUCAUAAAAUGAAUAGUCAACUCAGGUUUUUUAUUCAAUGUGUUCCUGUAAAGCUUAAAAGUUUGCAGCAAAUACACAAUCCCAUGAGAAACAGCAGUCGGUAGCAGGUGCUAAGACUCCCCUUGAUCAUUUCUGGUUAUUCUUUUUUAUUUUGUUGUAAUAGGGCAAUAAAACAACAUUUGCUUUAUCUGAAGACCUUUGCCUCAAGACAGUUGAGAAUAAGGCAUUCCAAGUUCUGAUGCUUCAAAGUAUCUUUUUUCUAAUUUUGUUUCACACACUGUAGCUUUCAGAUUGAACAAUUUAUCUCAGUCAGGAUUUAAGUGUUUGGAGUGCAGCGAUAAAAGUAAGAACACUAUGGGGCCUGAUUUUCCCUUCAGUUCCACUGAUGGUAUGAAUCGGGGUAAUGCUGCUGAAGUUUGAUGGAGUCACAACCAUGUUACAUUAGAGUAAGUGAGAGAAGAAUGGUGCCUAACAUUUCUUUCAAACAUCAAAAGACCUGGCCCUGCUUGUGAAGUAUGAGUUGUCACUGGGGAAGCCUACAGAACUGGCAUCUGAGAUAGUCAAUAGAGUUGUUUAUAAACAUAAAACUUACCUUCAUAACUUCUGUACUUCAGAAACUGAAAUAUCAUGUGGAUAAGUUUGCUUUUCAACUGUUCUCUCAGAUAGCUGAGCUAUAUCUCCUUGCAUUUCAUUUUUGACUCAAGGGGCUUUGUUUCAAACACCUGCUGCUCCAACCUGGACUUCCUUUUUUGCAUUCAGUUUUGCUUCUUUUGAUAUGUGAACAUCUGGGAGAGAUUUGUUUUUAAAAUCUCGAGUCACUGGGCUGCUUAGGGGAUAUAUUUGAAACCUUCUUUGUUCACUGUUGUUACACAGGGAAGAUAAUUUUAGUGUUGAAAAGAAACUACAUACCUCAAAUCUUUAAUAUUUAAAGUAUAUAUUUAUUGCAGUGUUAAUACAUUUACCUUAAAAAUACCAGGUUUUUUAAAGCUGUUAACUUAUUCAACAACAAUUUGGUGCAUUGAUCCAAGGUCUUGUUUACUGCUGUGCAAAAAUGAUCUCAUUUUUUCCAUGUGGAAACUGAGUUUUUUGUAAAUUUUCUCAAGGGCAAAAUUUGGUCUAGUCUGUCCCUUCUCUCCCGUCUUACCAAAUAGUAUACAGCAAGCAUUAUAGUGAACUGCGAGGACACGAGGCAAUGGUCUGUCUGUUUGGUGUGUGUGGAACAGUCUUGUGUGCAUAUUACAAAAAUGUAAUAUACAAAAAUGAUGUAACCCUAAUUAAAGUUCAAUGAUUGAUGCAGUAAGAGUUAUUUUUAUUAACAAUACCAGUUGUGGAACAAUAUAAUUUUGAUAAAAUUUGCAUGUUACUCAUAAUUGAGGAUGGAAUUUCUUUUUGGUGAGCUCAAAUUCUUCUUCUAACUCAACAUUUUGUGUAAGAAAAGGGAAAGUCUGUUAUGAAGAUGACCUACUUAACCACAAAUAACAUAACUUGGUUAAAAAAAUUUUAAAAAAAACAACAAGCAGUCAUAGGAAC
Long non-coding RNA from Dermochelys coriacea (leatherback sea turtle), 3076 nucleotides. RefSeq lists it as uncharacterized. NCBI's taxonomy places the organism in Eukaryota, Metazoa, Chordata, Testudines, Dermochelyidae. The record is from RefSeq and is a predicted model, not a curated record. The transcript is spliced from 3 exons.